AGGAAAAGAAACCAAAUGGGAUCCCCUAAGUAAUUGCGAAUGAAAUGGGGUAAGCUCAUUGCAAAGGCCUAUCAAGAACAUUGCUUGAUAUGCAGUGCUGCAUUUAUACAGUGUGAUAAAUGUUGCCUAAGACACAGCUACAUAUUCCUUUGAAUGGGGUCUAUUACCCAUAGACGGUGCUAGGCCGUUAGUUGCUUGUGUUUAUAAGCACAAUCUCCUGUAUAUUAGAGUCAGGUUGCUUGAGAGUGCAACCUAAAAUUGCAGGUAAACUCCUGCAAAAGCUAAAUAUGCUGAUGAUACCGAUA
Molecule: ribosomal RNA, 305 nt
Filed under: Torotrogla paenae
Lineage: Eukaryota; Metazoa; Arthropoda; Arachnida; Trombidiformes; Syringophilidae
Description: eukaryotic LSU rRNA
Rfam family: Eukaryotic large subunit ribosomal RNA
Source: RNAcentral